CACCGCUCGGUGAAAAUUUCGCCGCAGGGACACGGCCAAGUAAGCCCGAUAUGGAUUUGAAAGGUCGUGAGGUGAAUAAGAAA
Molecule: small RNA, 83 nt
Organism: Firmicutes bacterium CAG:124
Lineage: Bacteria; Bacillati; Bacillota
Rfam family: RT-18 RNA
About the family: Clostridiales (Firmicutes). Nearby to self-splicing intron genes
Source: Rfam